This 309-nucleotide ribosomal RNA is filed under the name uncultured bacterium. RNAcentral's name for it is "bacterial SSU rRNA". It matches the Rfam family "Bacterial small subunit ribosomal RNA", at positions 32 to 358 of the family's 1533-position model. The record is from RNAcentral.
AACGCUGGCGUCAUGCCUAACAGAAGAAAGUCGAACGCACCGCAAGGUGAGUGGCGCACGGGUGAGUUCUCCGUGGGAACCUGACACGAGGUGGGGGAUAACCGAGGGAAACCUCGGCUAAUACCGCAUUCGUCCUGAGGGAGAAAGGUCGGUCCGAAAGACAGGUUGCUCUGGGAGGGGCCCGCGUCGGAUUAGCUAGUUGGCGGGGUAAGGGCCUACCAAGGCGAUGAUCCGUAGCUGGUCUGAGAGGAUGAUCAGCCACACUGGGACUGAUACACGGCCCAGACUCCUACGGGAGGCAGCAGUGGG